This 490-nucleotide long non-coding RNA is filed under the name Olea europaea (common olive). RNAcentral's name for it is "long non-coding RNA (OEUR_LNC006823)". The record is from RNAcentral. Lineage: Eukaryota; Viridiplantae; Streptophyta; Magnoliopsida; Lamiales; Oleaceae.
UAAGUUUCAUAUAAAAGACACUCCAUUGUAGAAGGAGAAGAAACCUCCAUAAGGAGAGAUUGGAGAGAAACUACAAUCCAAUGAAUUACAAUGUGUAUACCGUCUUGUCUUUAUAGAAGAAAGACCAACUAACUAACCUAACAACUAAUCUACUAACUGAACUAAACUAACUAACACAACUGUGGAAAACUGGAGACAGCUGGGAUCAUCCGUGUGAAGUCUGGAGAGUGAAUCUGAUCAAUUGGAAUUAAGAUCUCUGGGAUCAAGAAUCUGGAAGUUAAGUUGGAAGAAAUCUGGUGCAUAUCUGCUGGAUAUCUGCUGGUUCUGAUAUUAAAUGGAAAAUCGAAAAGUUGAGAUUUUGAUUAAGUUUUGCAAGAUUUGCUCUUCAAAAUUAGUUGGGUUCUUCCUUUCAAAAGUGUUAAAGAUUGCAUUGCCAUAUUUUUCACGUUUAGAAGGCAAACAUUUUGUUUGAGCAUUGCAUAUAUGAUUU